Alligator sinensis (Chinese alligator) is the source of this 1382-nucleotide long non-coding RNA. RefSeq lists it as uncharacterized. The transcript has 2 exons. The record is from RefSeq and is a predicted model, not a curated record. NCBI's taxonomy places the organism in Eukaryota, Metazoa, Chordata, Crocodylia, Alligatoridae.
UUCCCCCCCUUUUUUGCCCCCCCCCAGACUCCUCUCCUCAGAAUAAAAGAGCCAACACAACAGAAGAAGAGGUCUCAGAAGACUCCCACAGUGCCAGCACAGUGGAGCAAACGCCCAAGAAAUCCAGCCCAAGACGACAUCAAACGUAAACUGUGUAGAGUUCAUCUGCAUUUCCUCCUUCAUCGGGAUGCCCCAGUGGUGGAUGAAGCCAGGGAGAUGUAAAGGUCUAUUACAAAUUAAUAAAAAAAAAUACAUAUCGUUGAUUCUCCAUGGGAUGGAGAUCUUGUACAAGCACUGAAGAAAAAACAAAACAAAAAAACACAAAACGACAAAAAAAAACAAACAAUAACACUAAAAUUUUAGGCACUCUUAAAAGAUCUGCCUCUAAAAGCAUUGGAUGUAGCAUUGUGCAAUUAGGUGUUUCCUUAUUUGCUUCUUUGUACUACCUGUGUAUAUAGUUUUUACCUUAUGUAGCACAUAAACCUUUUUGUGGGGGGAGGGAGGGGAGGGAGUGGAAAAAGGUGAGUGACUGAAACUUGCUUUCACAAGGUAGCAAGGGGAGAACUGUAUAAAGAGAAGCAGUGUAGGCUUUUUUUAUCACUUAAAGAUGUAUUGUCCAUGUCCAACCCCUCCCCCCCUUUUUAUUUUAAUGCACCAUAAUGGUAACACUGGUUUCAGCAGGCCAUUAUAGCUUGCUUGUGAAGUUUUUACUUAUUACAUUAAGCUGAAAAAAGAGGUGGGAGCUCUGACGUUUCCGUUACGUAGCAACAAAAAGUUUAUUAUUUUAUUAAUAUUAUUCUUCCUGGAACUCCUUAAAUCCCUUGAACCAGUAGAACUACUAUAAAAUUCUUUAAAUUUGUCUCAUCUGUAGCAUUGUUUGAAUGUUCCCAAAUGAAUCGGUAGAGUUCAUACUUCAAAACCAGAAUACUGUGUUUUUCUUUUUUUUUCCUGAUCUUACCCAACUCCCUAAUAUUCCUGGUUGAAAAGGGAUACUACAUCUUUAAACAGUAUUUCUACAUUGCCUGUGUAUCUGUAUGUAAAAAUAAAAAAAAAGUUUGAAGUGUACCUGUGUACAUAACUCUGUAAAGACACUGAGAAAUUAUACUAACUUAUUUAUGUUAAAAGAUUUUUUUAAUCUAGAAAAGGAUAUUUUUCCCCAUAAAGCCAAAGUGGCAUGUUUUUGUGCAUUUGUAAAUGCUCUAUUUGGUAGAAUUUUUAGUUUUGGUUUAUUUUUUCCUUUUUCUGUUAAUUAAUAUGGCUGUGCUUAAACGAUUGCAGACUGAGCCAACUUUAAUAUUUUUUUGUAAUGCAUAAGAAAUAAAGUUGCAUAUGGAUACUGUUUCACAUCAAGCAAUCAAUAAAGAAAAGUGCCAUAUAUAAGA